This 465-nucleotide ribosomal RNA is filed under the name uncultured bacterium. RNAcentral's name for it is "partial 16S ribosomal RNA". It matches the Rfam family "Bacterial small subunit ribosomal RNA", at positions 28 to 507 of the family's 1533-position model. The record is from RNAcentral.
GACGAACGCUGGCGGCGUGCUUAACACAUGCAAGUCGAACGGAAAGGCCCCUUUGGGGGUACUCGAGUGGCGAACGGGUGAGUAACACGCGAGUAACCUGCCCUUGACUUCGGGAUAACUUCAGGAAACUGGGGCUAAUACCGGAUAGGAAUCCUUGCUGCAUGGUGGGGGUUGGAAAGCUUCGGCGGUUUUGGAUGGACUCGCGGCUUAUCAGCUUGUUGGUGGGGUAGUGGCUUACCAAGGCUUUGACGGGUAGCCGGCCUGAGAGGGCGACCGGCCACAUUGGGACUGAGAUAAGGCCCAGACUCCUACGGGAGGCAGCAGUGGGGAAUAUUGCACAAUGGGCGGAAGCCUGAUGCAGCAACGCCGCGUGCGGGAUGACGGCCUUCGGGUUGUAAACCGCUUUCAGCAGGGGCGAAGCUUGUGGUGACGGUACCUGCAGAAGAAGCACCGGCUAACUACGUG